AAUUAGGCUCUACUUAGAGCCACAGUACCUUCCAGUGACAAAAACA
Mus musculus (house mouse) is the source of this 46-nucleotide non-coding RNA. The record is from Rfam. Lineage: Eukaryota; Metazoa; Chordata; Mammalia; Rodentia; Muridae.